CCUACGGGAGGCAGCAGUGAGGAAUAUUGGUCAAUGGGCGGAAGCCUGAACCAGCCAAGUCGCGUGAGGGAAUAAGGCCCUACGGGUCGUAAACCUCUUUUGCCGGGGAGCAAGGGCGGGGACGUGUCCCGGCCCGGAGAGUCCCCGGAGAAAAAGCAUCGGCUAACUCCGUGCCAGCAGCCGCGGUAAUACGGAGGAUGCGAGCGUUACCCGGAUUUAUUGGGUUUAAGGGGUGCGUAGGCGGUUUGAUAAGUUAGAGGUGAAAUGUCGGGGCUCAACCCCGAAACUGCCUCUAAUACUGUUGGACUGGAGAAUAGUUGCGGUAGGCGGAAUGUGUGGUGUAGCGGUGAAAUGCUUAGAGAUCAUACAGAACACCGAUUGCGAAGGCAGCUUACCAAACUGUAUCUGACGUUGAGGCACGAAAGCGUGGGUAGCAAACAGGAUUAGAUACCCGAGUAGUC
Molecule: ribosomal RNA, 461 nt
Filed under: uncultured bacterium
Lineage: Bacteria
Description: partial 16S ribosomal RNA
Rfam family: Bacterial small subunit ribosomal RNA
Source: RNAcentral